Astyanax mexicanus (Mexican tetra) is the source of this 1070-nucleotide long non-coding RNA. RefSeq lists it as uncharacterized. Lineage: Eukaryota; Metazoa; Chordata; Actinopteri; Characiformes; Acestrorhamphidae. The transcript is spliced from 5 exons. The record is from RefSeq and is a predicted model, not a curated record.
UUUUACAUAUAAAUGAAACAUAACAUUACAAUUUCGUUUUAGUUUUAGUUUUUGCAGGGGGUUGUUGCAAAUAUGAAAUUAACCAUUUUCAUGUUAUAUGUUAAUUAUACAAAUAAAGGCAAGCUGAAGACGUUUCAUACAGAAAAAAUACUUUUACUAUCUUACUAAAUGGAUCAAUUUGACCCGUAACGUAACAGGAGGGUUAAGUCGAUGCACAUUUAUUACCUUUGUACUGAAUGUAGUUACAAUUAAUGUGCACCGAUAUAGUAAUUGUAAGCUCAUGUUGUGUUUUGUUGCUUUCUGUUUUACAGCAUCCAACACAUGUCCAGGCCACUCCUGACCCUUCACGGUUUGGCCAGUGUGGUGUUUUCAAAUGCCCCUGCUUCAGUUUUGACACUGACCAGCGAUUUAAUAACAGCCUACAUCUACAAAACCAUAUCAAACAAGCAGUCGAGAAUAACGGAAAGUUCAGCGUGUUGAACGUGUGACUGAUGAAGGAGAUAGAAUGGGCAACGUCUCCUUUGAACAGAUGCCCCUUAUUCUCAUAGAUACAGUUCUGGAAGAGGGUGACAAAGCUUUUUUAAAGCUGUCACUGGUUUGUCGUCUCUUCCGGGACAUUGUUUGGACAACAAUCAUUCCGGGCCCGGGCACAUUUCGAGUGGCUUGACAGUGUAGUGCCAUGAAAACAUCACAGUGCUGCAUGUAAAGACGAGUUUCGCAGGAUGUACGAACUGCAGUGCUGCCAGAACUGUCAAGAAACUUAUAAAGACUACAUACUGGGCUACGUUGGGCAUGGGAGACGAGGGGAGCUUGUGGCAUUUUACAGCGAAAACGAGCACCCUGGAUUCUGCAGCCAGCUUCAUGAGUGGCUGGGUGUGUGAGUGGCUGGGUGUGUGAGUGGCUGGGUGUGUGAGUGGCUGGGUGUGUGAGUGGCUGGGUGUGUGAGUGGCUGGGUGUUGCAUUUUUAAAUAAAGACUUCUGUAUUUGUUUGACCAAAGCAUGUAACCAAACAUUUUAAAGGCUAGUGUGCCAAUAAAUGCCAAUAAAGAUAUUGUAUUAGCUUGGACAAA